Molecule: ribosomal RNA, 247 nt
Filed under: uncultured bacterium
Lineage: Bacteria
Description: partial 16S ribosomal RNA
Rfam family: Bacterial small subunit ribosomal RNA
Source: RNAcentral
UACGUAGGUGGCAAGCGUUGUCCGGAAUUAUUGGGCGUAAAGCGCGCGCAGGUGGUUCCUUAAGUCUGAUGUGAAAGCCCACGGCUCAACCGUGGAGGGUCAUUGGAAACUGGGGAACUUGAGUGCAGGAGAGAAGAGUGGAAUUCCACGUGUAGCGGUGAAAUGCGUAGAGAUGUGGAGGAACACCAGUGGCGAAGGCGACUCUUUGGCCUGUAACUGACCACUGAGGCGCGAAAGCGUGGGGAGC